This 1255-nucleotide ribosomal RNA is filed under the name uncultured bacterium. RNAcentral describes it as "bacterial SSU rRNA". It matches the Rfam family "Bacterial small subunit ribosomal RNA", at positions 138 to 1411 of the family's 1533-position model. The record is from RNAcentral.
GGGGGAUAACAGUUGGAAACGACUGCUAAUACCGCAUAAGACCACAACACCGCAUGGUGGAGGGGUCAAAGAGCAAUCGCUUAUGGAUGGGCUCGCGUCCCAUUAGGUAGUUGGCAGGAUAACAGCCUACCAAGCCGACGAUGGGUAGCCGACCUGAGAGGGUGAUCGGCCACACUGGAACUGAGACACGGUCCAGACUCCUACGGGAGGCAGCAGUGGGGAAUAUUGGGCAAUGGGCGCAAGCCUGACCCAGCAACGCCGCGUGAGUGAAGAAGGCCUUUGGGUUGUAAAACUCUGUUCUAUGGGAAGAAGGAAGUGACGGUACCAUAGGAGAAAGCUCCGGCUAACUACGUGCCAGCAGCCGCGGUAAUACGUAGGGAGCAAGCGUUGUCCGGAAUUACUGGGCGUAAAGGGUGCGUAGGCGGCAGCUUAAGUCAGAUGUGAAAUGCCGGGGCUCAACUCSGGAGCUGCAUCUGAUACUGGGCCGCUAGAGUGCAGGAGAGGAAAGUGGAAUUCUAGUGUAGCGGUGGAAUGCGUAGAUAUUAGGAGGAACACCAGUGGCGAAGGCGACUUUCUGGACUGUAACUGACGCUGAGGCACGAAAGUAUGGGGAGCAAACAGGAUUAGAUACCCUGGUAGUCCAUACCGUAAACGAUGAAUACUAGGUGUAGGUAACAAUGGUUAUCUGUGCCGGAGCAAACGCAAUAAGUAUUCCGCCUGGGGAGUACGUUCGCAAGAAUGAAACUCAAAGGAAUUGACGGGGGCCCGCACAAGCAGCGGAGCAUGUGGUUUAAUUCGAAGCAACGCGAAGAACCUUACCAAGGCUUGAAUCCCGGUGACCGGGGCAGAGAUGUCCCUUCUCUUCGGAGCACCGGAGACAGGUGGUGCAUGGUUGUCGUCAGCUCGUGUCGUGAGAUGUUGGGUUAAGUCCCGCAACGAGCGCAACCCUUGUGACUAGUUGCCAACAGGUAAAGCUGGGAACUCUAGUAAGACUGCCGUGGCUAACACGGAGGAAGGUGGGGAUGACGUCAAAUCAUCAUGCCCUUUAUGUCUUGGGCUACACACGUGCUACAAUGGUCGGUACAAAGAGCAGCGAACCAGCAAUGGCAAGCGAAUCUCAAAAAGCCGGUCUCAGUUCAGAUUGUGGGCUGCAACCCGCCCACAUGAAGUCGGAGUUGCUAGUAAUCGCGGAUCAGCAUGCCGCGGUGAAUGCGUUCCCGGGCCUUGUACACACCGCCCGUCACACCAUGGAAGU